This 688-nucleotide ribosomal RNA is filed under the name uncultured bacterium. Its description in RNAcentral is "bacterial SSU rRNA". It matches the Rfam family "Bacterial small subunit ribosomal RNA", at positions 10 to 709 of the family's 1533-position model. The record is from RNAcentral.
AGUUUGAUCAUGGCUCAGAAUGAACGUUGGCGGCGUGGAUUAGGCAUGCAAGUCGAGCGAGAACCGUAGCAAUACGGGGACAGCGGCGAAAGGGACAGUAAUGUGUAGAUCAUCUGCCCUCGGGAUCGGGAUAGCUGCGGGAAACUGCAGGUAAUACCGAAUAACAUCUCCGGAUCAAAUGGUGUGAUUCCGCCUGAGGAUGAGUCUACAUCCUAUUAGCUAGUUGGUGGGGUAACGGCCUACCAAGGCUUUGAUGGGUAGCGGGUGUGAGAGCACGACCCGCGUCACUGGGACUGAGACACUGCCCAGACACCUACGGGUGGCUGCAGUCGAGAAUCUUCGGCAAUGGACGCAAGUCUGACCGAGCGACGCCGCGUGCGGGAUGAAGGCCUUCGGGUUGUAAACCGCUGUCAGAGGGGAGGAAAUUACGGUGGGUUCUCCCACCGCAUUGACCUAGCCUCAGAGGAAGUACGGGCUAAGUUCGUGCCAGCAGCCGCGGUAAGACGAACCGUACAAACGUUAUUCGGAAUCACUGGGCUUAAAGGGUGCGUAGGCGGCGCGGAAAGUAGGGUGUGAAAUCCCUCGGCUCAACCGAGGAAUUGCGCCCUAAACUACCGUGCUCGAGGGAGAUAGAGGUGAGCGGAACUUAGGGUGGAGCGGUGAAAUGCGUUGAUAUCCUAAGGAACAC